UUGAAACAUUGUAAAGGGAAGUUGAGCUGGCUCUUCUAGAGCAAGUGCUCGCUUUCCUUUCAAUCUUCAUCCACCUGUGCACUUUUUGUAGAGAGUCUGAGAAAUAGGCCUUGUAAAAGAGGCGUUGAGUAUCGGGCUUUCUAUGUUUUACACACUCUUAAUGUAUGUAUGUCUUUGAAUGUCUUUUACAAGGGACUUAAUUGAACCUUUUAAAAACAAUA
Molecule: unclassified non-coding RNA, 221 nt
Filed under: uncultured Marasmius
Lineage: Eukaryota; Fungi; Basidiomycota; Agaricomycetes; Agaricales; Tricholomataceae
Description: sequence contains ITS1
Source: RNAcentral